This 464-nucleotide ribosomal RNA is filed under the name uncultured Sphingobacteriales bacterium. Its description in RNAcentral is "bacterial SSU rRNA". It matches the Rfam family "Bacterial small subunit ribosomal RNA", at positions 916 to 1382 of the family's 1533-position model. Lineage: Bacteria; Pseudomonadati; Bacteroidota; Sphingobacteriia; Sphingobacteriales. The record is from RNAcentral.
GGGGCCCGCACAAGCGGAGGAACAUGUGGUUAAUUCGAUGAUACGCGAGGAACCUUACCUGGGCUUAAAUGCAGAGUGCAUGAAGUGGAAACACUUCUUCCCUUCGGGGCUCUUUGCAAGGUGCUGCAUGGUUGUCGUCAGCUCGUGCCGUGAGGUGUCGGGUUAAGUCCCAUAACGAGCGCAACCCUUAUCGUUAGUUGCCAGCGGGUAAAGCCGGGAACUCUAGCGAAACUGCCGGUGUAAACCGAGAGGAAGGUGGGAUGACGUCAAAUCAGCACGGCCCUUAUGUCCAGGGCUACACACGUGUUACAAUGGCCGGUACAGAGGGCAGCUACCUGGAGACAGGAUGCGAAUCUCGAAAGCCGGUCUCAGUUCGGAUCGGAGUCUGCAACUCGACUCCGUGAAGCUGGAUUCGCUAGUAAUCGCGCAUCAGCCAUGGCGCGGUGAAUACGUUCCCGGGCCUU